UACGGGGGGGGCAAGCGUUGUUCGGAAUUACUGGGCGUAAAGGGCUCGUAGGCGGCCAUUUAAGUCUGAUGUGAAAGCCCACGGCUCAACCGUGGAGGGUCAUUGGAAACUGGAGAACUUGAGUACAGAAGAGGAAAGCGGAAUUCCACGUGUAGCGGUGAAAUGCGUAGAGAUGUGGAGGAACACCAGUGGCGAAGGCGGCUUUCUGGUCUGUAACUGACGCUGAGGCGCGAAAGCGUGGGGAGCAAACAGG
This 253-nucleotide ribosomal RNA is filed under the name uncultured bacterium. Its description in RNAcentral is "partial 16S ribosomal RNA". It matches the Rfam family "Bacterial small subunit ribosomal RNA", at positions 524 to 776 of the family's 1533-position model. The record is from RNAcentral.